GAGGGGAAGAAGGGAGUGAGAAGGGGAGGAGCGCGCUUUGGGCAGAGGAGCGGCGGGACGCCAGCGAGACCCGUCGCCCAUCUUCCUCUCCCGAGAGGCCGACUUAGGAGAGAGGUGGUGAAGAAGCCAAAGUACUUGCAGAAGAUUACACCCGUCUCAUCUUGUUUUCCACUUCACUUGGGGAAUUAACGCUUAUUAUACCUUAAAAAAUAAAACAACUUUUUGUGCUUCCGGAAA
This is a long non-coding RNA of Neofelis nebulosa (Clouded leopard), 237 nucleotides long. RefSeq lists it as uncharacterized. The transcript is spliced from 2 exons. The record is from RefSeq and is a predicted model, not a curated record. NCBI's taxonomy places the organism in Eukaryota, Metazoa, Chordata, Mammalia, Carnivora, Felidae.